Molecule: ribosomal RNA, 253 nt
Filed under: uncultured bacterium
Lineage: Bacteria
Description: partial 16S ribosomal RNA
Rfam family: Bacterial small subunit ribosomal RNA
Source: RNAcentral
UACGGAGGUUGCGAGCGUUAAUCGGAAUUACUGGGCGUAAAGGGCGCGUAGGCGGUUGGUUACGUCUGCCGUGAAAUCCCCGGGCUCAACCUGGGAAUGGCGGUGGAAACGGGCUGACUGGAGUAUGGGAGAGGGUGAUGGAAUUCCAGGUGUAGCGGUGAAAUGCGUAGAGAUCUGGAGGAACACAAGUGGCGAAGGCGGUCACCUGGGCCAAUACUGACGCUGAGGCGCGAAAGCGUGGGGAGCAAACAGG